RNAcentral lists this ribosomal RNA (487 nucleotides) under uncultured bacterium. RNAcentral's name for it is "partial 16S ribosomal RNA". It matches the Rfam family "Bacterial small subunit ribosomal RNA", at positions 28 to 523 of the family's 1533-position model. The record is from RNAcentral.
GAUGAACGCUGGCGGCGUGCUUAACACAUGCAAGUCGAACGGUGAAGGUGGGAGCUUGCUCCUGCUGGAUCAGUGGCGAACGAGUGAGUAACACGUGAGUAACCUGCCCCGGACUCUGGGAUAAGCGUUGGAAACGACGUCUAAUACCGGAUACGAGACGAGAAGGCAUCUUCAUCGUCUGGAAAGAUUUUUUGGUCUGGGAUGGACUCGCGGCCUAUCAGGUUGUUGGUGAGGUAAUGGCUCACCAAGCCUACGACGGGUAGCCGGCCUGUGAGGGUGACCGGCCACACUGGGACUGAGACACGGCCCAGACUCCUACGGGAGGCAGCAGUGGGGAAUAUUGCACAGUGGGCGAAAGCCUGAUGCAGCAAAGCCGCGUGAGGGACGACGGCCUUCGGGUUGUAAACCUCUUUUAGUAGGGAAGAAGCGAAAGUGACGGUACCUGCAGAAAAAGCACCGGCUAACUACGUGCCAGCCGCCGCCGUAA